GUAGUAGAUAUUUGGUGGAAGGUGGGGAUAGCAAAUAGGCUCAGAUACUGCUGUGGCCUGGUUAACUGAAACCCACAGUAGCCAUAGCGAAAGCAAGUCUUCAUAGGGCAAUUUUGCUGCUUAUCCGUAGGCGCCAUAGCGAAAGCAAGUUUUUGUAGGGCAAUGCUUAUUGCUUAUGGACCUGAACUUGGGUGAUCUAUCCAUUAACAAAUAUAGGACGAAUUGCAGUUUAGUUAACUUAUCCAGCCGAUACUUUAGAAAUAGAGGAAAUUUAUGAGAGAAAUAGGAGAAUAAAGAUAAAUGAUCCAAAGUAAUUUAAUUGUUGAGCUAUUAUUAACUCUAGGAGCACAACAACUUUGUAUGCAUUGUAAUUUCUUUGUCAAGAAAUAUACCAAUUAUAUUUAUAGGGUCUGGUAACUCUUCUGCGUUCUCGGAGUACCUAAUAAUUUUUAUGUCAAUAAUCAACUUUAAUUGGUAAUGUAAAAGCCCAAUAAGCAACUUUAACUGGUAAGGGAAAAAGUCGUGUCAAUUAGCAACUUAAGUUAGAAAAGAAAGCACUUUUCCCCUAACUUUUCUUGUUUUUUUUUAGUUUGCUAUACAUCGAUUUGGAAGUUUGGUUUCUUAAUAUGUAUUAUUCAUUUACCAUUAUAUAUUCUUUUCAAAUAUAGAAUAAAGAUGUAUUUUUUCAAAUAAGUGUCUUUGUCUAAACACGGAACCAAAAAGCAGUUACUUGCAAAAACACAUUUAUUUUUACAAUAUCAACUACUGGCUUGAUUGAAGCUAAGUUGAGGCAGAGCUGAAUGAAACCAAAAAACGUAAACGGAGCAAAGCAGUUUAGUUCAAAGCUACCUUAAAGUAAUAUAGCAGGCAUGGCUUUCAACUCCUGCCCUCCAUUUUGAUUGGUCGUAGGAUCAAUUUCUCAAUCUUGAAAGUUUUGUAUUCACUGUAAUCAGGAGUUCAUUUCAAACAUGCUUUGGAUCAUAUCUGUACCUUAUAAUGGAUUUUUGCUCGUUCAUCU
Molecule: long non-coding RNA, 1018 nt
Filed under: Carica papaya (papaya)
Lineage: Eukaryota; Viridiplantae; Streptophyta; Magnoliopsida; Brassicales; Caricaceae
Description: long non-coding RNA (CPAP_LNC005958)
Source: RNAcentral